GACGAGGAGGUCGCUUGAAAUCUCCUUUUAUCUAACUCCUAUUUUCUCUCUGGAUCAGCAACUUUGAAUAGACACCAUCUAAUCGCUCGUAAUGGAAAAUGAAAAAAAAAAAAAACCAACAAAAAAACCCCACCCAACAAAAAACAACUGUGUGUGUGCUCUGGGAGCUUCGAAAACGUUUUUGCGCUGGGCUGCCUGGCCGAAGCGGUGCUUGCCCUUGAGUGCACCAGACAAGGACCAGCGUGAGCAGCCCGCUGCAGCCGAAGCCCGCUCUGCUCACACCCUGCGCCUCUGCGGAGACACAGGCGUGCCCUGUCCUUCCUCCCUUCCCCCCUGCGCCAGGGUAUUCCCUGCCUCCUGGGGCCGGGUGGUCUGGCGGUGGGGAGCAACCAGCAGCCCAGAGACCCCUUCUUGGUGCCCUUUCUUGAGGAGUGAUGCUCGGAGUUGUAACACGGGACAGUCGACUCGACAUUAUUUUCCCUCUCACCCUCAGACUCCUGGAUUUUUGUGAUUUGCGCUUUUUUGCGGAUACCCGGACUGAGAGACAGUCCCGGCCGCCGGGAGUGGGUAACCCCAAGGAACAGUCGCUCUGUGGCGGGCAACAACUCCGCACAGCGGCCAGGCACCGAUGGGUGUUCAAAGAUUUCUGGGGAUCAUCUUGCCAAGGUGUUUCUGAUAGUAUAUUUUUGUUGUUGUUGUUGUUUUUGUUUUCUUAUGCACAAGGAAAAAAAAAAAAAAAGAGAUGGGCAAACUUGGGGGGCCUCUGUCAAAUAGCAAAAGCUUUGUUCUAGAGGCUCAAUCCAGGGCACUAUCUCUUUCCUCCUAGCAGCUCAGAAAUUGGCAUUUCUUUCUCAGUCUGGGAUGCUUUUGCUGUAAAUUCCUUCAUGUGACUACUUUGUUGCUAAGGCUACAAGUUCCCAUCCCGACACACAAAUCUUUUCCACUCCAGGAGCAGCUCAAGUCCUGGGCAGAAGUCAUGACUUAAGAGACUUACUUCAAACUCCUUGGAGUGCCUCCCUGCUAAAUACCUGCUUAAGUCUGGAGGUUCAAAUGAAGUCCUCCCCCCGCCAUCGUGUGUCACCCCCCUCCUUCUCUCCCGAGUUUGGAGGAUUCUAACCUUGAUUUUCCAGCUUUGACCCCCCUCUGGAAGCGAAACAAUGGCAGCAGCAAAACACUAUCAAGAAACUGCCUCCUGGCUAACAUUCUCGGCAAACCCUCAUGGCUAUUUACUCAAAUGAGCAGCCCAACAAAUAAGUUGUUAGCCUAAAUGAAAAUUAUAGCAGAUAAAAAUUGUCAGCCUGGGAAUGGAACUAAUAAGGAAAAGAAUUGCAUGAAGCUGACAGCACAGUUUUGGACAUUGGGAAGAAUAAAGGAAAGCACAGCUACUGAAAUCAACUCAUGAGACUGAGGUAAACAGGAAAAAUCCACAUCCAUCGUCACACAUAGAUGAUGAGUGUGACUCUCAGCAGUGAUGGCUAAACCGUGCUUUAACACAAUAAAACUCAAGGCUGUGUUUAUGGUCAUAUGUGUCAAAUGGGUGUGAAAUGCUGGCUAAAACUACAGACAUAUCUUUGACUGAUCAAGCCUGAACUUUGGGAUCACACAUCAGAAAUUUGUGUCCAAAUCUUACAUCUCCAGUGUGGGCUGAGCCUCUUCAGACAGCAGCUGAUAUCACAGCCACCACAAACACUGGCAGGAGGUUGACAAUGGAAAGUAAUAGCAGGAAAAAUGGAUUUUUCUCAACAUGUUGAAUAGGCUGCCGAAAUCCCUUUGCAAUCCACCUGCAGUCUGGAGAUUGGCCAUUGCAGAGAAACCAAAGUUAAAUAACCAACUAUGGACUUUAUAUGCUAAAAAUAAAACAGCUCAGAAGAAAAAAAACCCAGGUUUUUAAAUCUUAUGAUCAAACUUAUAAUAAUAAUAGAAAUGUUUGAUUACUUUCUCUGAUAAUCUUUCUCGAUCGAAUGUUAUUCCUUCUCUGGAACUGUAAUGGAUGGUGAUAGGUGCUGGUAUUGAAAUUUAGUUUUUUUUCUGUCAGAAACUUAUCCUUAGGGCCUUCUAGUUAGCAACUCUUUUGAUGUGUUAACAGCCCACAGCUCUCAUCUCAGAGAUUCUUCAAUGGAGUGUGUACUUCUUGAAUAAAAACUCAUUGUACAAUCUUCAGAAUAAAAUUUUUAUUUCUACUAAUUUGAUGAUUUAUGCACCUAGCAGCUUAAUACAAAGAGUCUGGUGUCAGAACUUUGGUAAAAUUAAAAAAACCCUCAACCCCCCCAGAAUCACUUUCCCCCAAAACACUGGCUUAUAGUAAGAAAGAAUUUGGUUUGCCCCUUACUUUACAAAUAGGAAAAAUUAAAUACUAUAGCUUAUAAAUAUUAUCAUGGUAUGGCAAAGUCAAUUUUGUAUGAAGCACAAUAUUGAAUAGUAACUGUCUUAGUAACAGAAGGAAAAGAGAAUUUUGCUGAAUGCCAUGUUUACCACAGUCUAAUACCUACUCAUCUGUCACUCAGACAAUGCUACAUUGAAAGGUAAUUUCUGUGAAUUGGAGAAAAAAGGAUUUGACCACAUGUAGAAAGACAAUUUUCCUACUUUGUGCACUCUUGCAUCAAUAAAAAAGAAGAAAUUAUAGUUUUUCAGCAGAUUGUGAGUUUAUUAAAACCAUUAUCUGAUAUUCUAUAUCGUCAAGUUAUACUUCAUACUUCUUAUGAGAUUAAGAUACAAAGAUAUAUCUAGUUUAAGGAAAUAUCUUCAAAAUUCAGAUGUAAGAGAGCUGCAUUAAAGCAAAUAUUCAGAUUAAUUUGUGAUGGGAUUAUUUAAUGUCUAACAGCAAAGAAGAAAUUGCUAAGUCAGGAGAGAGAAACUUUGGUGUCACUGUCUCUUUGCAAUCACUUCCCCAAAUGUUUAUAUGUGUAAGCUCUGACUAAAAAUCAGGUAAAAAGUUUAAUUUGAUGUUACUGUAGUUUUUGCUGAUUGUUUAUUAUGUUUGACCUACUUAUGUAAAUACUUCCAACUAGUGCAUUGUCUGAAAGUAACUCGCAACAGGUGAGUUUAAAGGCCAGCUAAAAACCUGUGUGUUGACUAUAAAAUGAACACAAUAAUUCUAAAUGAUUUCAAAAUUUAUGUAAAAAUGAGUGUAUUAAAGUACACUAAAGCAUCUGACUAAUUAUACCCAAUUUUUAAAAUUGUAAAUAUAUAAGAAUUUACCAGUAAUUUUGAAAUAGAUUAUUUCCCUCUAUGUUUUAGUAUAUUUAAUAGCUGAAAUCUUCAGGCUAGCAUGAUCUACAGAAGACAUACAAAUAUUUAGUGAAAAAUAAAGAAAGAAAAUAUAUGUUGGUACUCCUUUGAAAGCAACUUUCAAUGUGAAAACACUAAUAACACAUUUGAUAUGUCAUGAUGGGGAGCAGAAUAUGAUUUUACAAAAAUUAAAAGAAACAAUUAUUGGAAUGGACCAGAAAUUCAACAAAAAAGUCUUUGAUAAGGGUUAUAUUUCUGGAUGCCUAGUACAAGCAAUUAUUGGUAAUAAUAAUAUUUCCUUUCAUUGGUGACUAUCAGAGAAAUUAAAAUUAUGUUUGGUAGAACAAGCUGAUAAGGAGUGAUCUUCAGAUUUUCAUGGGGGCUGUCUCCUGUUCAUGGUGUUGCAACUUGCUGUCUGUAGAUGAAAGUUACUGCCCAUUAAUAAUAAUUGCUGCAAUACAUCCCAGUCUGUUUUGGUGACAGAUAGUGUUGCUUAGUUCAAAGAACCACUGCCAGGAGUUUAAUAGCCAUUGGUUUUGGUGAGUAACAAACAAGCUAACACUGGCCUCUGCUGUGUUCAGAAACACUUGAAAAACAGCUACUGCCAUGGUCACAAAGGAGUAACAAUCCCUUUCCAUAAAUUCAAUUUGUUCAUAACCUUGUGACACAGACCAUAAAUAUUAUAUUUCACACAAAUGAACAAAUUACAUGAACAGUAUAUAUAAUAUUUACUUAACAAAAAUACAAACUAAAGUGCUGUAUGAACAAUCCAUCUAUUAGCAAAGGGUUGAUUUCUUAUUCUACAUAAAAUCCAGAUUGUAUGCCUAGCUGACUUGCUUGCUAAGACACUAUACUCUUUGCAGGUGUAAAGCAGUAGCAAGGAAAAUAUUUAUCAGUUGGCACUGAAGCUGCUUCUGCAAAAGUUACACCAGAGAAAAAAUUAAGAGGAGGCUGAGAUCUGGAUCAUGGAAAAGCUUGUAUGGUUUUCUGCACCAGAUGAUGGAAUUUAGGAAUGAAAAAAAAUAUUUAAAAGGAAGAUAUUUUUGUUUUUGAAAAUUAUUCUUGGUGAGUUUGUUUAAUAUGUUUUAUUUGCACACAUGAUUAGUACGCUAAUAAUAGCAAAAAAUGCUAAAAGAAUAAAAUUCCAAAGUACUAAAUCAGAAAAUACUUAUUGGAGAGACAAAUUUUUCCUCUGCUUUAUAUCUAAAACCCAGGUACCCAACAGGAGUCUAAGACAGAAUAGCAGUUUGGUUACUAUUUUUUUGUUUUUAGCAAAUUUCUCUUUGUGCUUUGAAAACUGGGAAAGAUAUCUCAUCUGAUGAAUUGGAUGUUUUAGUUUUUUAAGUAAUAUAAUUAAAAGUGUUGAUGACAGUUAGAGUAGAAAAGCAACUGAAAGUGGUGUAUGUAAGAAAAUACUGAAUUUUUUUACAUGUUUCUAUGUUACCACAAUUUCUUGCUGAAGAUUUACGGAAAGAAAAAAAGAUUAAAUUCAUAGAGUGUUUAAUUCUGUCUUCUAAUCAACAUAGUGGAAAAACAUUUUUGCCUUCCAAAUGCAAUGAUGUUGAUUUGCAUUUUCAUAGGGAAAAAAAAACCAAAAAGAAUUGUUAAAAAAUAAGAAUAGGCAAACCAUUUCCACUGCUGGAAAUGUCCAUUUUACUUUUUCAAUCUUUAUUGAGCACUAAACUUCUUCUAUGCGAAACUGUUAGUUUGUCCUGUUACCUGAGAUAACACAGGGCCAAACAAUGGGCAGGCUGAACAGUCAGGAAAAAGAUGAGGACCAGAGAAACUCUGUUUCUUGCAUACCUUUAUGUGAUCAGGAAAGUGACCCCUGAAAGAGUAAAAUGUUCAGGAAGCCUUCUCCUUCCCAGACAUGAGGUGAGAAGAGCUGGUGGAUUAAAGGAUCAUGCAAACUCAAACACAUCCAUCUGAAGGAAUGACCAAGCCAUUUAUCCAUUUUCAUUAAAAGAGACCAGACUUCCUGGUGACAUGUGUAAUACCAGUGUAGACACUGUUGCAGGUUUGGAAGGAUCUGCAUUAAACCAGCUGCCACCACUGGGUGGUGGAAACCUGAGGAUGGAUCUGAUGGGUGAAUUAUGUUGUGAUUUGCAGCAAAGUUGAGAAGAAAACCUCUUCCAGAUUAUAAAUUGGAAGGAUGACAUUUUGCAAAUGCCUGUUUAGUUGAAAAGUAUGCUUUUUGCUAAUCAUCCACUCUUUCUCAGCACAAAACAGUUAACAUUUUGUCAUGACAAGUAGAGGAAAUGAUAAUAGCACAAGAUAUUUCCUUAAAAAAAGAAUAUAAUAUAGAAUCAUAGGUAGGUCUGGUUAGGAAGGGACCCUUAAAGUUCAUCUAGUCUAAUCCCUCUGCCAUGGGCAGGGACAUCUCCAGCUAGUUCACACUGCUCAGAGCCCCCUCCAACCUGGUCUUGAAUGUUUCUAGAAAUGGGGUGGGCGUCUACCACUUCUGUGGGCAACCUGAUCCGCAGCGUCACUAUCCUAAUUGUAAAUAUAUUUCUUCCUUAUAUCUAGUCUAAAUAUAGCUGUUUUGAGUUCAAUAUAAUUACCCCUUGUCCAUUUAUUCUAUAUCCUUGUCAAAAGUCCCUUAUCAGAUCUCUUUUAGCCCCUUUAGGUGCUCUUAAAUUCUCCCUGGAGCCUUUUCUUUUCCAGGUUGAACAAACCCCAUUUCUUUCAUCCUGUCUUCAUAGGAGAGGUUCAGCCCUUGUGGAUCCUCCUGUAUUUGAUCCAAUUGGUCCAAAUUCUUCUUGCACUGGGGGCCCCAGAGCUUGAUGCAACACUCUGGGUGGGGUUUCACCAGAGCAGAGUAGAGGGGCAGAAUCAGCUCGCUUGACCUGCUGUCCACAGUGCUCUUGAUGCAGCCUGGGACACAUGCUGGGGUGUGUGUCCCACCUUUCUUCCAUCAGUAUACACAAGUCCUUCUUGUAAGGCCUCCUCUCAGCUCUCUCAUGCCCCUGACUAUGUCGAUCCAGGGGGUUGCCCCAACCCAGUGCAGGACCUUGCACUUGUUCUUGUUGAACCAGAUAUGCUUUCCAGAGUCCCACUUCUUGAGCUUGUCCAAGUCUCUCUGGAUGGCUUUCUGUCCUCCAGACAGAUGGGAUUUAUGUCAUAAAAAAUUGACUGCAGACAAUGUAAUAGGAAAUAAAUACACAGCCAAUAGACUUAAAACUAUUACAUGGAUCUCCACAGAUAUAAUUAGGAUUACUUAAUCUCAUUUGGCUCUGCCUUUUGAAAAAGUUUGGGUUUCUAGCCAAAUGAAGGCCAUUCAUUUGGGGUAAACUACCCAUAACCCAUUUGCCUUCAUGUUUCCCUUAAAGCAGUUGAAAAGAUCCCAAUUUUUUUCAUUUUCAUAGGAAAGAAAAAUAUACUUUUAGAAAAGUAUAAAACUAAAGUGGGCCUCAUAAAUAUGAAGAAACUUUGGAGUUGAUACUCUGCCAUGUAACAGAAAUAGGUGAAAGCAUACAGACACACCAGGAGCAGUUAGGAGUGAAAGAUCAAAUAAGAUGUGAGAAAUCAAAAUAUUUCAGAGACCUUUAGAACAGAUAUCAUACUACUGAUUCAAUUACCAGUGCAAAUGACACAUGUGUAGACAAUAUCAUGGGCUAAAGAGAGGGAAAGGCAGGCUGAAUCAUGAAUUUCUCUGCUCCUUUAUUUCUCCCUUUCUCUACUUCAUUAAUCCUGAUGUCAAAGGAAUGCACCUUCUGUCCAUACAUUUCACUGCAGUUUUACCAGGCUAAUGGGGAUUCUGCAAAUUAAUCUGUGAUGUUGUAUCAUAAUUCAGUGGACUGUGCUUUAAAAAAAAAAUUACAGACCUAUCCCUGUAUUUUUUUUUCAUAUUUUCUUGUGGCUGUGAUUAAAGACUUUAAAUCAACACUAGUUGCCACUCUACAGUGUCUGAAAUACUAUUGUCAUUUUCUCCUAUAAGACAGAUACCUCAGGAUAAAUAUUUCAAUGACAAAGUCAGUAUUUCUUUUUCCUCCAUGACUUCUGUUAAAAAACUUCAAAUAUUUAUAGAUUUUUAUUAAAUCUCACCGUCGUCACUUAUCAAUACUAUGAACUUAAACUUAUCCCAGUAAAUCAGUUCACCCAGUAUUUUAAUGUAUUUUUGUUUCUACAUUCUAUUUUAUAAUCAUGUUUCAGAGGAAAUAAAAGUGUGGACUUAACAGA
Parus major (Great Tit) is the source of this 7407-nucleotide long non-coding RNA. RefSeq lists it as uncharacterized. NCBI's taxonomy places the organism in Eukaryota, Metazoa, Chordata, Aves, Passeriformes, Paridae. The record is from RefSeq and is a predicted model, not a curated record. The transcript has 5 exons.